GUGGUCACUUAGGCGGCACAUAUACUAAAGUUGGAAUUAUGCAGAGAAGAUUAGCAUGGGCCCUGCACAAGGAUCACACUUUUACAGUUGGAACAAAUUUCU
Molecule: small nuclear RNA, 102 nt
Organism: Octodon degus (degu)
Lineage: Eukaryota; Metazoa; Chordata; Mammalia; Rodentia; Octodontidae
Source: Ensembl